CGAGAUUCAACAUGGAACGAGUGGCGGACGGGUGAGUAACACGUGGGUAACCUGCCCUUAAGUGGGGGAUAACAUUUGGAAACAGAUGCUAAUACCGCAUAGAUCCAAGAACCGCAUGGUUCUUGGCUGAAAGAUGGCGUAAGCUAUCGCUUUUGGAUGGACCCGCGGCGUAUUAGCUAGUUGGUGAGGUAAUGGCUCACCAAGGCGAUGAUACGUAGCCGAACUGAGAGGUUGAUCGGCCACAUUGGGACUGAGACACGGCCCAAACUCCUACGGGAGGCAGCAGUAGGGAAUCUUCCACAAUGGACGCAAGUCUGAUGGAGCAACGCCGCGUGAGUGAAGAAGGCUUUCGGGUCGUAAAACUCUGUUGUUGGAGAAGAAUGGUCGGCAGAGUAACUGUUGUCGGCGUGACGGUAUCCAACCAGAAAGCCACGGCUAACUACGUGCCAGCAGCCGCGGUAAUACGUAGGUGGCAAGCGUUAUCCGGAUUUAUUGGGCGUAAAGCGAGCGCAGGCGGUUUUUUAAGUCUGAUGUGAAAGCCCUCGGCUUAACCGAGGAAGCGCAUCGGAAACUGGGAAACUUGAGUGCAGAAGAGGACAGUGGAACUCCAUGUGUAGCGGUGAAAUGCGUAGAUAUAUGGAAGAACACCAGUGGCGAAGGCGGCUGUCUGGUCUGUAACUGACGC
RNAcentral lists this ribosomal RNA (685 nucleotides) under Lactobacillus casei group sp. RNAcentral describes it as "bacterial SSU rRNA". It matches the Rfam family "Bacterial small subunit ribosomal RNA", at positions 74 to 746 of the family's 1533-position model. Lineage: Bacteria; Bacillati; Bacillota; Bacilli; Lactobacillales; Lactobacillaceae. The record is from RNAcentral.